UGGCUUUGCAUCCUUUCUCUCCAGCCUGCCCAGGUCUCGCUGAAUGGCAGCACAGCCUUCUGGCGUGUCGGCCACUCCUCCCAGCUUUGUAUCAUUGGCGUACUUGCUGAGGGUGGGCACUAUUCCCUCAUCAGGGUCAUCAAUGAAGAUGUUGAACAUGACCGGACCCAGCACUGACCCCUGGGGAACGCCGCUAGUCACAGGUCUCCAGCCGGACUCUGCGCUGCUGAUCACCACCCUCUGAGCUCAGCCAGUCAGCCAGUUCUCAACCCACCUUACUGUCCACUCA
Cygnus olor (mute swan) is the source of this 289-nucleotide long non-coding RNA. RefSeq lists it as uncharacterized. The record is from RefSeq and is a predicted model, not a curated record. The transcript is spliced from 3 exons. Lineage: Eukaryota; Metazoa; Chordata; Aves; Anseriformes; Anatidae.